This 701-nucleotide ribosomal RNA is filed under the name Chryseobacterium sp. P4. Its description in RNAcentral is "bacterial SSU rRNA". It matches the Rfam family "Bacterial small subunit ribosomal RNA", at positions 56 to 757 of the family's 1533-position model. Lineage: Bacteria; Pseudomonadati; Bacteroidota; Flavobacteriia; Flavobacteriales; Weeksellaceae. The record is from RNAcentral.
UGCAGCCGAGCGGUAGAGUUUCUUCCGGAACUUGAGAGCGGCGUACGGGUGCGGAACACGUGUGCAACCUGCCUUUAUCAGGGGGAUAGCCUUUCGAAAGGAAGAUUAAUACCCCAUAAUAUUUAGAAUGGCAUCAUUUUAAAUUGAAAACUCCGGUGGAUAGAGAUGGGCACGCGCAAGAUUAGAUAGUUGGUGAGGUAACGGCUCACCAAGUCUACGAUCUUUAGGGGGCCUGAGAGGGUGAUCCCCCACACUGGUACUGAGACACGGACCAGACUCCUACGGGAGGCAGCAGUGAGGAAUAUUGGACAAUGGGUGAGAGCCUGAUCCAGCCAUCCCGCGUGAAGGAUGACGGCCCUAUGGGUUGUAAACUUCUUUUGUAUAGGGAUAAACCUACUCUCGUGAGAGUAGCUGAAGGUACUAUACGAAUAAGCACCGGCUAACUCCGUGCCAGCAGCCGCGGUAAUACGGAGGGUGCAAGCGUUAUCCGGAUUUAUUGGGUUUAAAGGGUCCGUAGGCUGAUCUGUAAGUCAGUGGUGAAAUCUCACAGCUUAACUGUGAAACUGCCAUUGAUACUGCAGGUCUUGAGUGUUAUUGAAGUAGCUGGAAUAAAGUAGUGUAGCGGGGAAAUGCAUAAUAUAUUACUUAGAACACCAAUUGCGAAGCAGGUUAAUUAACCAACACUGACGCUGAUGGACGAA